AAAGUCGAGAGGCUUUGUCUGGAGGAAGCCGCUAGCAAAAUUGCGAGCUGAAGAAGACAGCGUGUCCCGCAAGCACAUCAUAUAAGACGUAGGCUGGAGGCGAGUUGGCAGAGCCGGUCGCGUUAAACGCUUUGGGUCCAAGACAACGAAGCCACGUGAUCUGACGGCCACCGUAAAUUGCCUGAUCAAAUGGCAUCAGAAGUCGCAGC
Molecule: non-coding RNA, 209 nt
Organism: Nitrincola sp. A-D6
Lineage: Bacteria; Pseudomonadati; Pseudomonadota; Gammaproteobacteria; Oceanospirillales; Oceanospirillaceae
Source: Rfam